Molecule: ribosomal RNA, 253 nt
Filed under: uncultured bacterium
Lineage: Bacteria
Description: partial 16S ribosomal RNA
Rfam family: Bacterial small subunit ribosomal RNA
Source: RNAcentral
UACGUAGGGGGCAAGCGUUGUCCGGAUUUAUUGGGCGUAAAGAGCGUGUAGGCGGCCAUACAGGUCAGCUGUGAAAACUCGAGGCUCAACCUCGAGACGUCGGUUGAAACCGUAUGGCUAGAGUCCGGAAGAGGAGAGUGGAAUUCCCGGUGUAGCGGUGAAAUGCGCAGAUAUCGGGAAGAACACCCAUGGCGAAGGCAGCUCUCUGGGACGGUACUGACGCUGAGACGCGAAAGCGUGGGGAGCAAACAGG